UUUCUCAACCCUUUAUAAAAUAAUACACUCUUCCCUGAGAGACUGAUGAGACUGAGAAAUCAAAUUAUCAUCAGAGAGACUCUUCUUCACUAGGAGAAGAGAAAAAAAAAAAAGGCACAACUAUGAGAAACAAAAGUUGCGAGAGAGAGAUAGAUUCGAGGAGUAUGUCGACGAGAGAGAGAGAGAGCAGGCAACAAACGUACCCAAACAAGUCAGAGAAGAGAGGUGCUCGUUGAUCGAUUUAUUUGACCUAUCGAUUGAUGGACUUGGCGACUCAUAAAUUGUGGUUUGACGAGCCUGCAGUGGAAACAAAAACCUUCUAAUCCGUCUGUGUAAAAUAUGGUACGGGUGAGGUUUGGGGGGGGGGACCUUGUUGUUUCCAUGGCGUAAUUCGCUUGGAAACGAGUGUUGUGUUACGAACACAGCUAGCUAGCUCUACCAAAAUCCAUGAAGGAGACCAUGAGCGAGCAACGUCCAAGAAGAAGAAGAGCCCCUCCAGGAUAAAGAGCCGUGUCAGAACCUGUUGCUACAACACACAGAGCAAGCCUCAGGAAAUAUCAACUUACCCUAAUUAACCAAAGCAAGCAGAGAUCAACAACAAGGCCAGGUUCUAAUUCGUUUUUUUCUUCUUCUUGUUCAUUCAACAGUUAUCUCUCCGGGAUGCGGGCAUCUGAAAGAUUAGCUAGGCAAUUCAGCUGAGGAUGGGAGGACCUUGUUGUUUCCAUGGCGGAAACGAGUGUUACGAACACAGCUAGCUCUACUAAAAUCCAUGAAUGAGACCAUAAGCAACGUCCAAGAAUAAAAAGACCCCUUCCAGGGAAUCGAGUGUUACUAGCUAGCACAGAGAUCAACAUUAAAUCCAGUAAUUUCCGGGAUACAAACGUUAGAGGUAUAAAACAAGGAGAACAUUCCUUUCCCAAACCACCACUGGCAGUUUUCUCAUGGAGACAAGUUGAUGAUCAUAGCUGGCUAUCUCUCUACCAAUCUGAUUCACGAGUAUCAAGCCAACCAAGGAUGCAGAGAUCAACAACAAGACCGCAUAUGCUAGUAAUCUCGGGGAUGUUGACGUCGGAACAGAUAUAAAACAACCACCACUUCAGGUUUCUCACGUGUGAGUAAUCAACACAGGGAAACGAGUGUUGAAAACAUAGCUAGCAAUACCAAACUGAAUAUGGAAAGUCAAGCCAGAACCAGAAACUGCAACGCUGCUACUCCACUGGACAAAACGAGGUCUUGCUCACACGCAAGUUUUAAGCUUGACCUGUGAAAAAGCAGAGAAC
Non-coding RNA from Camelina sativa (false flax), 1280 nucleotides. Lineage: Eukaryota; Viridiplantae; Streptophyta; Magnoliopsida; Brassicales; Brassicaceae. The record is from RefSeq and is a predicted model, not a curated record.